ACCAGAGAAAGAAAAGAACGGGGGAAAACACCAAAAACCCUCAUUCACUAAAUUGAUCAAAUUGGAGGAUGGAUUGAGUCCAAAUCAUAUGCAUGAACUUGAAAUUCUGAUUAUCUAAACCUAAUAAACACAAGUUUAGAUGUUUUGAUGAUUGUAGAGGUGAAACACAAGUGAAGCAUCGGGACGUCAAGCUUGACUAGACGCGCGAUUGAAAGAAAAGUUAUAAGGUGCUUAGAUGUAAACGGGUCGAAUAAUUGAACGCACAAUCCGAGAACCGAUAGCGUAAAGCGUAAGAGUUAUAUCAGUGGCGACGGAGAUCUGUGGUGGGUCGUCGGAUCUGUGGCGGGUCGUCGGAUCUGUGGCGAUGGGGUUCUGUGGUGGUCCUCAGAUCUGUGGUGGGUCGUCGGAUCUGUGGCGGUGGGGUUCUGUGGUGGUCCUCCGAGCUAUGAGUGUCGUGACAAGUUCAUUCAUGUGAGAUUGAACGGUCAUAACCUGACUGAACUCGUCUUUAACGUGUUGUAUCAGAACUGAAAUUGCUCUGUUUAUGAGAAUUUUGACAAACACUUCCGCCAUUAAUGCUUAUUAUCAAGCUCUGAGUUUGAGUGGAGUAGGAUAAGAAAUGGCACUACAAGGAGGAAAAGACUAUUGAUGAAUUUGACUUGGUCCAUGUACUCGUUUUCUUUCUUUUUUUUUAAUUUAUGAAAUCUUGUUGGUACAGGAUAACUAAGCGUAUGAUUUAUCAAAGUAAGCAUUUGUGCAAUAAUAUAUUUGUAAACCCAGGACAAAAUAGUUAUAAAUGUUUUAGGGUCUAGGGUUUCAAAAUUUUGCUUAAUCUGAGAAGGAAUUUAGGUUUUUGAAAAUUGAAAGGAUAAUUUAGGGAAGAUGCCGGAGAUUGAGGAUGAAAAAAUGACGACGUAACAGUGUUUGCGUAUCAGAUUUUAUGUUUUCAGGCGGGGAGGUGGUGGUGGGUGGUGGUUGGUGAUGGUGGGUGGUUGGUGGUGGCUUGUUGAUGGUGGUAGUGGUGGAGGUUGGUU
Molecule: long non-coding RNA, 1034 nt
Filed under: Helianthus annuus (common sunflower)
Lineage: Eukaryota; Viridiplantae; Streptophyta; Magnoliopsida; Asterales; Asteraceae
Description: hypothetical non coding rna
Source: RNAcentral